RNAcentral lists this ribosomal RNA (425 nucleotides) under uncultured cyanobacterium. RNAcentral's name for it is "bacterial SSU rRNA". It matches the Rfam family "Bacterial small subunit ribosomal RNA", at positions 355 to 795 of the family's 1533-position model. The record is from RNAcentral. Lineage: Bacteria; Bacillati; Cyanobacteriota.
UGGGGAAUUUUCCGCAAUGGGCGAAAGCCUGACGGAGCAAUACCGCGUGAGGGAGGAAGGCUCUUGGGUCGUAAACCUCUUUUCUCAGGGAAGAAGCAAUGACGGUACCUGAGGAAUCAGCAUCGGCUAACUCCGUGCCAGCAGCCGCGGUAAUACGGAGGAUGCAAGCGUUAUCCGGAAUGAUUGGGCGUAAAGCGUCCGCAGGUGGCACAUCAAGUCUGCUGUCAAAGCCCCCAGCUUAACUGGGAAGAGGCGGUGGAAACUGGUGAGCUAGAGAGCAAUAGGGGUAGAGGGAACUCCCGGUGUAGCGGUGAAAUGCGUAGAGAUCGGGAAGAACACCAGUGGCGAAAGCGCUCUACUAGGUUGCAACUGACACUGAGGGACGAAAGCUAGGGGAGCGAAUGGGAUUAGAUACCCCAGUAGUC